UCUAUUUAUUUUUGUGCAUAACCUGACUACGCCACAUAGAACACGUGCCUGGUGCUGAUGAGGGUAGGUAGGGAGGUCUCACCCUCGCCUCGGGGUGGGCGCUGUACAACCUGCGUGCUGAUGGCACGCCUGGCAGGCAGCUGGCGGGCUGACUUGCAGUAACACACUGCUGGUGAAAUGGUUGAUUAGGAAUCACUGAGCAGAACAGCCAGCCCCUGGCUGUGUCCUUGAAUGCGUUGAUACCUCGAAGGAAUGGCAACCAAAAUCAGUGAAACGUUAAGGGGGGAGGUUCGUUGGUUCUUGCAGACACUGUCGUGGUAACUACUUCAUCCCCUUUAGCUGCUGCCUACCAGGGAACAGCAAAGGACAGAAGCAUUUGGCAGCGGUCGUAAGACCUGGAAGGAACAGUAACCACACAGAUCCAGCACUAGCUGCUCUGCUGUCCAGUCCCUGAGCAGCCUUGCAGGAGGGGCUGCUGGAAAGCAGAUCCCCUUCCCACUCGAGGCCUCAUCCUGUGCUCCAGGUGCUCCCAGGGUACAGGCAUUAUCUUUGGCGGGAGUGAAGAGAGCUCAGCUGUGUAAGUCCAAAGCUAACAGUUUAUGCAACAGAUAGGCAGGCGCUUCCCGUUUGCCUGCCCUGGAGCACUGAGAUAAGCACGCGGUGGUGACAGGAGGCCCUUUGCCAGCUCCUCUCCCCCCAGCAUGGUACGUCAAUAAGAUCCAGGUGGAGCAGCUCUGUCACCUGCCUGGGCACAGCCUGGGCUAUGUGACGCAUCUGAGGAUACCUGCAGGGGUCCGGGAGGGGAGCAGCCUGCGCCACUCCUUCGCUCCCACCACAGAGCUAUCGGCAGAUUUAGGACCUGCUUCCAAAACACAUGGACCCGGGAGACCCCCCGUCUCCAUGUAAGAUCUGCUCUUACCCUGGGCUUCUCUGAACCCCUUUCUGAAGUGCAGAGGCUUCAGGUCAGUUGGGGUUCUGCUGGGUUUUGUUCUUGAACUGCUUUUUGCAUUGCUCUUAAUGUGGAUCCUAUGCAUGUGGGGGACAGAAGUAAACUGUUUUUUUUCAGGAAUGACUGAAGCUGAAGUGAACUGUAAUUCACUUCUCACCUUUUCUCCUUGGUGGAAGUCUGUCUCCUGAAAUGUGAAACUAGAGCGUGAUUGAUUUUCCUGGUGCUGCUGCUCUCCCGACAGUUUCCCGGGGAGGCUCCCACGCCGCC
This 1216-nucleotide long non-coding RNA is filed under the name Apteryx rowi (Okarito brown kiwi). RNAcentral's name for it is "lncRNA (ENSARWG00000017560.1)". Lineage: Eukaryota; Metazoa; Chordata; Aves; Apterygiformes; Apterygidae. The record is from RNAcentral.